AAAAAGAAUAUAUCUACAAGAUCUCUCUCAAUCUCUCACGCAUCUCUCUCUCUCUCUCUCUCCAGUGAGAGAAAACUCUAGCGUAUGUAUCUCUCUCCCACAACCCAACUCUCCCAAUCUCUCACGUAUCUCCUUUUGAAAACAGAUUUUCUGUAUCUUUCUUAAACUCUGACACAAAAAAUCUCGCCAACUACAUCGGUAUUUUACAUGGAUUGUCCAGCGGUUCCUCUCAAUGUGGUCCUAAACUUGCGAGCUCCAUUGAUAGUGAAUUGAAGAUCGGUUAUCCAUCGACGAACGGCACAUGGCCAGAUACAAGGAAAGAACGGCUACAUGGUUGUAGAUUUCUCAGGUAGUCGGGCCCUCAUGUGAUUUUACUAGAAACAAAUCCAUCUAUGAGGUAUGAUCAAACUUGACAUGUCUAGAUCUUCCUUUUUCAUCUCUCAAUAUAUUUGGAUGAUCAUGUCAAUGGUCAUUGCAGUGGACAUGAUUUGGUUUCUUUAUUAAUAUGAUAUGAUUAAUUCCAUCCAUGGAAAUUUAUGCCGUGAUGUUAAGCGUGCAACGUGUGCAUGUCCUUUCUAUUCCCCACUUAUGUGCCUCAUCCUUAAAAUUUAGAUAUGCUUCCUCUCUACGUCCAAAGGAAAAAAAUCCAUGAUUGAUUCAGGAGUCCAGCUUCUCCCAGUCCCAGAACCCUGCCAUAUGAUGGAGGAACUUCCCCAUCCACCACUCUGAUGUCGACAGAAUAAAAAUCCGUCUACGUUACUCCUCCCAGCAAACAAAAUAUAUAAGUCUUUGUAGUAUGCUCAUAUCUUUUGACCUGCACGCUAUGUGUAUGUGUGAUGUUCAACUCUAAGUGUGUAAAGAAAUGUAAUAGACAGUUUUAAACCAGACCAUGCUAUGCAUAUGAUGCAUUAUCCUUCAACGCCGAGGGGUCGGCCAUGCCCAGGUUGUCAAGUAGCACAUAUAGUUUCUCCUAUGUUGGUUGUUUCGAGCGCAUUAUUAAUAUCUCACCCCUGAAUAAUAUAGGUCAGCAUAUAUGUUCGAUGGGUCGGACAAAGUUUUUACUCUGGCUACCCCGUCAACAAGGAUCAACACACAAUAUGGUGAGUAUCAAUUCUUUAUAGUUGCAUGUUCGUACUUAAUAUUGCAUAGAAAAAUUGCAAUUUUGUGUUUUAGUAAGUCUACUUUGACUAUUAAAUAAGGAAUUUUCUAUGGAUGAUUUUCUCAGAUUGCAAUUGGUUUUAAUAAUGUAGGCCUACCACUAUCAAUAGUUGUAGCAAAUCAAUGAUCACCAAAUAUUCUAUAUUUUUAUUUGCAUUUGAAUUAUGGACUGCUGCAAAGUUUAUGAUUGGACUGACUGAGCGCUCUUAAAGUUCCCCUAUUACUAAGUGAUUUUGGUUUGUUCAUUCAAUAUAACCUUAAAAUGUUUUGCCAGGUAGUAUGUAUGAAGAUAGAAGUUAGUUUGUCACCUAAGGCCAUGAUCGAUGUAGUACAUAUAUUGUAUGAACGACCCAACUUUUCAAUUUACAAUAGAAACCCGUUAUAUGUAAGGUUCAUUGCUAUUCAACAAACACACUUUCGAUGUUGAUGCUUUAUUCAAAUUCCAAACAUAUGAAGUUGUCGGUUUGUUUAAUCAUAACUUAUUGGUUCUAUCAUUCCAGCUCCCAGCCUCUUCUUCCACCUAAAAAAAAUUGUUUCGCAGGUCAAACCCGUGUUCUUGCUCAUUUGGCUGUGAUUUUCGAUCUCCUUGCUCAAAGCACCAUUCUCCGAACUGUUUUGGGGAAAUUAUUCCUUGGAAAGUGACUCCUUCAUUGGUCCACUUAGUUUUUGCUCUAGUGCUUUAUCUUCCGCGUACUCUUGCUACCUUGGUGACCCUGUUCUUGAGCUAGAAAGGUUGAUUUUAGCUGGUCCCAAGUAGUUUUAGCGCGUGAUACGGUCUCUAAGCACUAGUAGGAGUAGUUGCUACAAGGAAUGGUUGGUCUUCAUUCAUUUUUCUCUUGAACUUCAAAAAUUUCAGCAAAAGGGAAUUAUGUUCAGGAGGAAGUUUCAUGGUGGUUCCUCAAGUAAGAAGGGGCCCCGUCUUUCUUUUCGGGAGCCCGAACCUUUUCAACUAAGGGACGCACCGGUGCAACCAUGUGAAUGGC
This 2141-nucleotide long non-coding RNA is filed under the name Hordeum vulgare. Its description in RNAcentral is "long non-coding RNA (HVUL_LNC007669)". Lineage: Eukaryota; Viridiplantae; Streptophyta; Magnoliopsida; Poales; Poaceae. The record is from RNAcentral.